This 161-nucleotide ribosomal RNA is filed under the name uncultured bacterium. RNAcentral's name for it is "partial 16S ribosomal RNA". It matches the Rfam family "Bacterial small subunit ribosomal RNA", at positions 355 to 509 of the family's 1533-position model. The record is from RNAcentral.
UAGGGAAUUUUCGCAAUGGGCGCAAGCCUGAACGAGCAAUGCCGCGUGAGUGAGGAAGGUCUUCGGAUCGUAAAGCUCUGUUGCAGGUCAGAAAAGAAGGGAAGAGGAAAUGCUUUUCUUUUGAUAGUAACCUGCCAGAAAGUCACGGCUAACUACGUGCC